This 460-nucleotide ribosomal RNA is filed under the name uncultured bacterium. RNAcentral's name for it is "partial 16S ribosomal RNA". It matches the Rfam family "Bacterial small subunit ribosomal RNA", at positions 338 to 795 of the family's 1533-position model. The record is from RNAcentral.
CCUACGGGAGGCAGCAGUGAGGAAUAUUGGUCAAUGGACGAGAGUCUGAACGAGCCAAGUAGCGUGAAGGAUGACUGCCCUAUGGGUUGUAAACUUCUUUUAUAUGGGAAUACAAUGUUCCACGUGUCUGUUUUUGUAUGUACCAUAUGAAUACGGAUCGGCUAACUCCGUGCCAGCAGCCGCGGUAAUACGGAGGAUCCGAGCGUUAUCCGGAUUUAUUGGGUUUAAAGGGAGCGUAGGUGGAUUGUUAAGUCAGUUGUGAAAGUUUGCGGCUCAACCGUAAAAUUGCAGUUGAAACUGGCAGUCUUGAGUACAGUAGAGGUGGGCGGAAUUCGUGGUGUAGCGGUGAAAUGCUUAGAUAUCACGAAGAACUCCGAUUGCGAAGGCAGCUCACUGGACUGUAACUGACACUGAGGCUCGAAAGUGUGGGUAUCAAACAGGAUUAGAUACCCGGGUAGUC